GAAAAAUUGGAGAAUUGAAGCUUGAAAGUUAAAUUGCAAACAAAGGAACCGAGGCAUCCAAUACAAAGGGGAAAGAGAAAGUAGUCGAGGAAUAGCUCGGGGGAAAAUCGAUUUGUAUUAUCAUAAUUCAUAGUAUUUAUUAUUGCAUAUUUAAUUGUAAUAUAUAUAUAUAUAUAUAUAUAUAUAUGAAUGUGCGUGAAAAUGACUUGAAUGAGAAUUGUUGAUUAGUUGUGAUUACAUUGAGAAAUAUAAGAGAA
Gossypium arboreum is the source of this 257-nucleotide long non-coding RNA. RefSeq lists it as uncharacterized. NCBI's taxonomy places the organism in Eukaryota, Viridiplantae, Streptophyta, Magnoliopsida, Malvales, Malvaceae. The record is from RefSeq and is a predicted model, not a curated record. The transcript is spliced from 2 exons.